UGGGGAAUUUUGGACAAUGGGCGCAAGCCUGAUCCAGCCAUGCCGCGUGAGUGAAGAAGGCCUUCGGGUUGUAAAGCUCUUUCGGCGGGGACGAAAUGGUUCGUGCCAAUACCACGGACUGAUGACGGUACCUGAAGAAGAAGCACCGGCUAACUACGUGCCAGCAGCCGCGGUAAUACGUAGGGUGCAGGCGUUAAUCGGAAUUACUGGGCGUAAAGCGUGCGCAGGCGGUUUGUUAAGACAGAUGUGAAAUCCCCGGGCUUAACCUGGGAACUGCGUUUGUAACUGGCAGACUGGAGUGUGGCAGAGGGGGGUGGAAUUCCAAGUGUAGCAGUGAAAUGCGUAGAUAUUUGGAGGAACACCGAUGGCGAAGGCAGCCCCCUGGGCUAACACUGACGCUCAUGCACGAAAGCGUGGGGAGCAAACAGGAUUAGAUACCCCAGUAGUCCCUGAGCGGGCUGGCAAGGCGCAU
This 472-nucleotide ribosomal RNA is filed under the name uncultured bacterium. RNAcentral describes it as "bacterial SSU rRNA". It matches the Rfam family "Bacterial small subunit ribosomal RNA", at positions 355 to 825 of the family's 1533-position model. The record is from RNAcentral.